Molecule: non-coding RNA, 2293 nt
Organism: Benincasa hispida (wax gourd)
Lineage: Eukaryota; Viridiplantae; Streptophyta; Magnoliopsida; Cucurbitales; Cucurbitaceae
Source: RefSeq, a predicted model, not a curated record
AUAGUUUAUGGAUUUUGACCGUUGAUAUUUUAAUUUAAGAAAUGUUCAUUGAGUAUAUGAUUAGGAAAAAGAUUUCUAAUAUGUAGAAUGUUUUUAUUUUUACGUUGAAAUUACUACUUGUGGUCCAUUUUUACUUUGAUAUGCUAGUGUUGGUUGAGAACUUUGUGUACCAGUUAAAAUAGAGAUGCUUGACCAUUGCAAUGUCGUAUUAGUCGUCAACAAGUUAUGUAGGCACUUCUAGGUCAUUUUGAGUUACUUUUCGGUCUUGAAUGUAGUUGAGGCACUUUUAGGACACGUUUGUAGUUUUAGAGAGUGUGUUACAUGCACUGAAUAAAUGUAGAAAUCUUUUAAGUAGUUUUUCAAUUUGAGCUUUAAGUGUUUUGAUGUCUCCUUUUCUCAAUAAAUCUGAUACUUCGGUAAGAGAGUGAUAUCCCAUGAAACAUUUGAAAAAGGAAGGCUGCUAUGCAUAUAGUUGGUCGUCAGCUGAAUUGGACCAGAUUCUAGUGUGUAAAUACCAUAUCUGUUGGAAGAAAAAGUACGAAACAAGUGAUUGAGGAAAAAGCUUCAUCUUAAGCCAACGAAGAUCUUCAUGAAAACACUAGACGGCAAGACACUUACUUUAAAUAUUUUCAUGUUGCCGAAACCAAACUUCAGGCAAAGGAAGGUCGAAUCCUUACCCCCAUAGGUAUUCCAUAGGAAAUUGCAAAGCAUGAGGUUAGGCAGAGGAUGUGAAUCAAAUCAUGGAAGUUGCUUCAGUCGCUCCAAGGCUCAUUUUUCUCAUCUUUGACACGAUUCCCGCUUAUGCGUGAUGCACUAAAUGCAACUGGCCGAAGUAUUUUCUAUUCAAUUUGUGAAUGGGGUGUUGAUGGUCCAACAUUAUGGACCGGCAAGGUUGGAAACAGUUGGCAUACAACAAAUGACAUUAAUGAUACAUGGGCAAGGUCAAGUUCUUGGCCUUUCCAUCAAUCUUCCUUAAGUCAUUUUAUGUUGACACCAUAUUUUAGUACAUUGCUCGAACUUCUUAGCAGAAAAAUUGUUCAACUGGUUAGAAAAUAUUGGAAGAUUUUUCAGCUUUAUUAUUUUGCAUGCAUCGAUUUGCGUUUCAAGUUUUUUUUUAUGGGAUUUAGAAUUAAGACAGUUUUCCUUUGUAUUGAUAUUAAAUUCUUACAAAACUAUUUGUUAGUUAUGCCAAAUCUUUGCUUUGAAAGCUCUACCGCUACCAUAUCUUUCAUCUCUUUCAUUUUCAGGUGCUGCUAAUGCUAAUUUUUGUCUAUUAUGAUCAUGAUUGGUAUUUUUUUCUUGUGUGUUUUCCGUUUUCGUUCAAGCAUGUCUACUCUUGCAAAUAUCAACAAUAAGUGGGCAGCCUAUGCAGGACGUGGUGGCUGGAAUGGUAGGAAGAUGAUUUUGUCUAAAGGUUUCACACACAUUUCUCCCAAAUGUUAAGUGUUACAAGAAAAAGUAUAUGCAGGUUGGAAGAUGUCUUCCUUUUGUAGGUUUUAGCCAAGUCAAAUCCCUUUUCAAUUUUUGAUACGUAGUGAUCAAAAUUUGUAUUAAAAGUUCUGUUUAAUUUAUCUAAUUCAGAGGAAGCUAUAUAGUAGUGGAUUUAUUGGAAUUUAUUUUGUUGUAGAUUUGAUAAGAAAUAGAAAGGAAUUGUGACUCUUACAAAAAACAUUAUGUUGUUGCUUUUGGAUUGGCCAUUGCAGUUGAGCAAAGUAGAAGCAUUGUAAGCUCAUGCCCUUUUCCCCUUUCUUUCUCUCUGUUUACCAUUGUCUUCAUUGUUGCAUGUUUUAGUGAAAAUUUCUGCCUUUACUUAAAGAUCUUGGUGCUUUGUAGGCUUUUUCUUUUGGUUUUGUUUAGUUCAUUAGAGAGAGAAUGGAGAUUCAAACGUGAAGAAGAGCAACCACGGGGUAAAAAGGAGUAAAACCUCUUCAAUUACUAAUUGAUCAAUUUGCUAAGGUUAGUUUUAUAUUAUUUUUUGUUCUUAAUGUUGGAAAUUUAAACUAAGAGGCUUUAAAUCUAAGUUGGGGGAAUGUAUAUAGAAACUGCUACUGUUCUUAAUGUUGAAAAUUUAAGUUGCAUUCGGUCAAGGAGGCAUGUUAGACUUCAAUGGAGAUACACAUAUCACUCAACAUAUUUGUGUAAGUUUAAUUUUGUAUUCAUUUUUGUUCUUAAUGUUGGAAAUUCUUAAUUUUGCAUUUAGAUUUGUAAAUUGUUAGCUUGACCAAAUAUCUAAUACUAAAGGCUUUGAUUUUUCUUUAGGUGUUGAUCUAUGUUUUCAAGAAUACAUCUUUAA